Molecule: ribosomal RNA, 253 nt
Filed under: uncultured bacterium
Lineage: Bacteria
Description: partial 16S ribosomal RNA
Rfam family: Bacterial small subunit ribosomal RNA
Source: RNAcentral
UACGCAGGGUGCAAGCGUUAAUCGGAAUUACUGGGCGUAAAGCGUGCGCAGGCGGUUAUGCAAGACAGAUGUGAAAUCCCCGGGCUUAACCUGGGAACCGCAUUUGUGACUGCAUAGCUGGAGUACGGCAGAGGGGGAUGGAAUUCCGCGUGUAGCAGUGAAAUGCGUAGAUAUGCGGAGGAACACCGAUGGCGAAGGCAGUCCCCUGGGCCUGUACUGACGCUCAUGCACGAAAGCGUGGGGAGCAAACAGG